UUCGUUUCAUUCCGUCCAGUGUUGCAGAAUGUCGAUGGAAUUGGAAACAGUGUUGCACGGCGUCACCCGACCUCCCUUGGAAAGCUACGAAGAACAGAAAACGGAACCGGAAUCGGAUUCGGAAUCUGAUUCGGAACCGGAACCAAUUGAUUGGGACUGGGUAUCGAAACCAAUUGAAUAUCUUCAGGACAAGUAUGAAGAUGACCCUAUUCCCCGCUAUUUUUCGUGUACGCGCUUUGUUUAUAAGAAUAGAGUCGUGAGAGAAAAAGAAGAGGCUGAAGAAAAGGCCGUCGCUGAGUAUUUGAAGACCGCUCUUAACAUAAGUCCCUUCGAUGCUAUCCCUAUUCCACCUUUAGCAAAUAUAUUUGGCCAUAACUGGCCCAGACCCGUUCCUAUAGACGAUCACGAGCAGCCACUUCUCAUUCGACUCUCCAAGUGUGCUUUGGAAAAGUACAACAAGGACAAUCAGGGUUUGAAGUACGAGUUUAAGGUGCUUGUCAAGGCAGCCAUAAGUCAUAUUCCUUUAGGCAGCUACUACAUUACCUUCAAAGCAACACCAAAACCAGAAGAUGUUCAUCCUUCCAACACGUCUGCUACCACUUUCCAGGCCCACGUCUGUGACUGUAGGCCUGAACCUGUGAUCAAGUCAUGUUCCAUUAAAACCUAACACACACACACCAUGGCUCUAUAAAAUUCCUGGCUCCGCCACUGCUCAUCCGGUUACCGCCGCAUCACCAGGAACAGUGAAGCUACAGCAACAAAGGUUCUUGCUGCGGAAAAUUAACGGGAUAUAGUAGAGUUUUGCUAGCAAGAAGGUUUGGUUCUUUUGGCUUAUGAGAUGAAUGCUUUCAGCCCAGCCGGAACAUGGUCCAGUGGUCCACACACCCAGUACCAAGAGAAUGAAGGGAUCAUAUAUUCGGAUGGUGAGGUUUUGGCAAGACGGAAAUGAACAUACAAGUGAGUGUCGCAUUAGAUUGAUGAAGGAGAUGACAGUGCAGGUAGGUAUACACAAUGGAGAAGGAGAUGAUACACCGAUACUGAUAUUGCAGAUAGAACGAUAGAAUGAAGAGGGCGAGGGUUCACGUGCACAUUUUAAGUGAGUUAAUGAGAGCCUUUAGAUUAAAUAAGAUUGAUGGUUGAGAUUUGGUGUCAACGAAUUCGUUGACACCUGGUA
Medicago truncatula (barrel medic) is the source of this 1174-nucleotide RNA transcript. RefSeq lists it as uncharacterized. NCBI's taxonomy places the organism in Eukaryota, Viridiplantae, Streptophyta, Magnoliopsida, Fabales, Fabaceae. The record is from RefSeq and is a predicted model, not a curated record. The transcript is spliced from 7 exons.